This 978-nucleotide ribosomal RNA is filed under the name Phlogistomorpha apicalis. RNAcentral describes it as "partial 16S ribosomal RNA". Lineage: Eukaryota; Metazoa; Arthropoda; Insecta; Coleoptera; Cleridae. The record is from RNAcentral.
GAAUUUAAAAAUUUAUUAAUUAUAUUAAUUUUUGUUUAAUUAAUUAAAGCAUUAGAUAUUUUAUUAUUUGAUAAGAAAAAAUUAUUUUAAUAAUAGUGUAAAGUAUUGAGAAAGAAAAUUUAAAAAUGUUAAAAAGAAAAAUUUAAUUUUUGUACCUUGUGUAUCAGGGUUGAUUAAAAAAUAAUUUUGUAUAAGAUUUUCUCGAAUUUAAAAGAGCUAAUUAAUUAUAAAUUUUAUUGUAAAAUAAAUAUUUAAAAUUGUUAAUUAGAAAUGAAACGUUAUUCGUUUUUAAAUAUAUCUAGUUUUUAAAGAAAUGAAUUUAAUUCAUUUAUUAAUAAUUAAAAUUUUUAAUUUUUAAUUUUUUAUUAUUAAUAUUUAAUUUUCUUAGGGAUAAGCUUAAGGAAAAAUUUUUUAAAAUAAAACGUAAUUUUAAUAAGUUAUAGGAUUAAAAAUUUCUAUAAAUAAAAAAUUGUUAUAAUUAAUUAUUGUAGUAAUAUUAUUUAUAUAUUUUAUUUAAAUAUUUUAUUUAAAUAUAAAUUUAAAUUUUAUAAAUUUAGAAAUAAUGAUUAAAUUAGUAUAAAUAAUUGUUUAUUUAAAUUAAUUAUUAAAGGUUAAUUUAAGGAAUUCGGCAAAUUUAUUUUUCACCUGUUUAAUAAAAACAUGUCCUUUUGAUUAUAAUUUAAGGUCUAAUCUGCCCACUGAGGAUUUAAAUGGCCGCGGUAUUUUGACCGUGCAAAGGUAGCAUAAUAAUUAGUUUCUUAAUUAGAAGCUGGAAUGAAUGAUUGGAUGAGAAAAUAACUGUCUCAAAUUAAUUUUAAUAGAAUUUUAUUUUUAAGUUAAAAAGCUUAAAUAAAAUUAAAAGACGAGAAGACCCUAUAGAGUUUUAUUUAUUUAAAUAAUAUGUAAGUUUGGUUUUUAAUUUUUUUAUUAUUUAUAUAAAUUUUGUUGGGGUGAUAAAAAAAUUUAAUAAACUUUUUU